RNAcentral lists this long non-coding RNA (314 nucleotides) under Ictidomys tridecemlineatus (thirteen-lined ground squirrel). Its description in RNAcentral is "lncRNA (ENSSTOG00000031243.1)". Lineage: Eukaryota; Metazoa; Chordata; Mammalia; Rodentia; Sciuridae. The record is from RNAcentral.
UGGACCCUACUUUCUGGUUGCCAUGGAUGCAAGGUCAGCCUUCCACACUUGGAUCUACCAGCAGAGUUCAGACAGGUCAACGUGUGACCGGCCCAGGCCCUGGGGUUAAAAGUUCAAGCAGCGAUGGAAAAACCAAUAUGUCCACGCAGAGGAGAAGCUAUUUGGGCAAGUUUCAUUUUCCUCAUCUGUAAAAUGGAGAUAAAAAUAAGACAUGUUCCUCAGGGGAUCUUUGUCAGGAUUAAAUGAGUUAAUAUAUGUAAUGCACUUACAGGAGUUCUUGGCAUAUAAUAAGAGCCGUAUGAAUGUUUGCUAUU